RNAcentral lists this long non-coding RNA (3926 nucleotides) under Canis lupus familiaris (dog). RNAcentral describes it as "lncRNA (ENSCAFG00040011822.1)". Lineage: Eukaryota; Metazoa; Chordata; Mammalia; Carnivora; Canidae. The record is from RNAcentral.
AUGCUGGAACUGCCCAUUCUUUGUGGUUGUUGCUGUCACCUGCCUUCUCAUCACUUCCAAGUCGAUCUUUCUCUCCCCCAACUUCUCUGCUGCUGGCCUCCUGGGAGCAUAUCAAAGAGCUUUGUACGUGGAUGCCCACAGGGAAUCUGUCUACUAGAGAAGAAAACACUGAAGCUCAGAGAAUGGCGGAGAAUGUCUGUGGCUACACAGCUAGUAAGUUGGUGGAAUUUGGAUUUAAACUCCAGCAUCUCUGACUCUGAGACUAGAGCUCUCACCCACGGCCCUGAAACCCUCCUUUGCCCAAGCCAGAGCCCUGGGAGUUGUCCUCAGUUCCUCCCUCAACACUCACACCCAGCCAAGGCUGGCACCUGAACUCACAUGGCUCUCAGAGCAGCUCCUCAAACCUCUGCCCUGGCUGAGUUCAUUCACUCUCACCCUCACCCAGUACAGCCAUGCAAGACUGGGAGAAAAUAAACUCAGCCCCUGCCUCUCUCCAGUCUUCCCCCUUCAAACCACACUUUGCAUUUAGAGAAAAGUGCUUUUUCUACAGCAAAGAUCAUGUCACUCCCUUGUUUAAAAGCCUUUGGUGGCCGUGCACAGCAUUCAGACAAGAGCAAGCCUUUCCACUUACAGCAGGACUCUGUCGGCUUCACUAGCAGGGCGGCCCAUCUGCAUUAUCUGUGGAUUCUGUAUUUGCCAGUUUGCUUACUCUCUACAAUGUAUUUGUAAUUCCAAAAUCAAUACUCCUGGCAUUUUUGCAUAAUUCACAGACAUGUAUAGAGUGGCAAAAAAUUCAAGUUGUCUGACAUGCGCAUUGCCAAAGGAGGGUGAACAAGGUGACACUCUGCCAUCAGUUUCAACUUUCAUGCUAUAAACAAAUAUCCUGUCUAUAGUCUGUUCAGUAUCAUGUUUUUCACAUUUUUGGACCUUUAUUGGGGAUUCACUGUUUAAAAUGUCCUCCAAGCAGAGGGCUGAAGUGCUAUCUCAUGUUCCUAAGUGCAAGAAGGUGGUGACAUGCCUUAUGGAGAAAGUACAUGAAUUAGAUUAGCUUUGGUCAGGCAUGAGCCACAGUGCUGUCAGCCAUGAGUUCAAUGUUAAUAAAUUAACAACAUAUAUUACACAAAGUGUGUUUAAACAGAAACAAAAAUAAAACAAGGCUAUAUGUUUUGGCUGGUUAAUGAUGAUGUGACCACAGGUUCACAGGAGCCUAACCCUGUAUUUCCCCUAGUUCAGCUAGUUCAGUAUUCAUGGCAACUUUGUUUUUGAGUAUAACAAUCUCAAAGAAAGAGAAUCAACUGUACUUUCCCCUAGUCUGUGGCUUGUCUGUUCAUUUUCAUAACAGUAAGUUUUGAAGAGCAGAAGCUUUUAAUUUUGACAUAAUCCACUUAAAUUUUAAAAACAUUUUAUGGCUUGUGAAUCUACAGGUUUAAUGCAAUUCCUGUCAAAAUGCCAACAGCAUUUUUCACAGAACUAGAAGAAACAAUCCUAAAAUUAGUAUGAAACCACAAAAAAAUCCCCCAGAGCCAAAACAAUCUUGAAAAAGAAAGCAAAACUGGAGGUAUCACAAUCCCAGAUUUCAAGUUAUACUACAAAGCUAUUGCAAUCAAAACAGUAUGGUACUGGCACAGAAAUGGACACAUAAAUCAAUGGGACAGAAUAGAAAACCCAGAAAUAAACUCACAACUAUAUGGUGAAUUAAUCUUCCACAAAGCAGGAAAGAAUAUCCAAUGAGAAAAAGACAGUCUCUUCAACAAAUGGUGUUGGGGAAAGUGGACAGCUACAUGCAGAAGAAUGAAAUUGGACUAAAGAAAGAAACUGGACUACUUUCUUUCUUAUACAAGAAACAAAAAUAAACUCGGAUUAAGGACCUAACUGUGAGACCUGGAACCAUAGAAAUCCUAGAAGAAAACACAGGCAGUAAUUUCUCUGACAUUAGCUGUAGCAACACUUUUCAAGUAUGUCUCCUGAGGCAAGGAAAAUAAAAGCAAAAAUAAACUAUUAGAAUUACAUCAAAUUAAAAGUGCCACACAAUGAAGGAAAUGGUCAAUGGAGCUAAAAGGCAGCCUACUGAAUAGGUGAAGAUAUUAACAGAUGACAUAUCUGACAAGGGAUUAAUAUCCAAAAUAUAUAAAGAACUAAAACUUAACACCCAAAAACCAAAUAACCCAAUUAAAAAUGGGGAGAAGACAUGAACAGACAUUUAUCCAAAGAAGACACACAGAUGGCCGACACAUGCAAAUAUGCUCGACAUCACUGAUUAUCAGGGAAAUACAAAUCAAAACCACAAAGAGAUAUUGCUUCGCAUGUGUUGGAAUGGCUAAAAUCAACAAUACAAGAAACUACAGGUGUUCACUAGGAUGUGGAGAAAGGGGAACCCUCUUGCACUGUUAGUGGAAUGCAAACUGGUGCAGCCACGGUAGAAAAUAAGUUUUUUCAAGAAAUCAAAAAUUGUACUAUCCUACAAUCCAGUAAUCACACUACUGGGUAUUUGCCCCCAAAAUACAAAAGCAUUAAUUCAAAGGGAUACCCAGUGUUUAUUGCAGCAUUACUUACUUUUUUUUUUUUUAAGAUUUAUUUAUUUGAGAGAGAGAGACAACAUGGGGGGACGGACAGAGAGAAUCUCAAGCAGACUUCCCACUGAGUGUGGAGCCAGACAUGGGGCUCAGUCCCACAACCCUGAGAUCAUGACCUGAGCCAAAAUCAAGAGUCAUAAACUUCACUGACUGAGUCACCCAAGUGCCCCUGCAGCAUUAUUCAUAAUAGCCAGGAUAUGGAAGCAACCUACCGUGCACAGAAGUUUCACAACAGCCAUGUUUUGUUUUCAAAAUGGAAAGAAAACUUAUUAUUAUUACAGGAACCUAAUAGAAGCAGUAGAGGAAGGGAAUCUACACAGAAAGGAAAGUAAUAGUAGGCAAACUGGGUACUUACAACAUCCAACCAGGGAAGCCCCAUGGAGAGAGCCAGGCUGAAGCACAGAUCGAGAGGCCUGGAUAGACUGUCCUCCCCUCAGGUGAGACUUCCAACUUCCAAAAGUAUAUAAAAAUAAAACAAUUCAUAAAAUUUUAUGGCUUGUGCUUUUUUGUGUACUAAGAAAUCUUUGCCUAACUCAAGGUGACAAAAUUUUCUCCUAUGUUAUGUUACAGAAGUUUUAUAAAUUUAGCUCUCUUAUAUUUAGGACUAUCUCCUACUUUGAAUUCAUUUUUUUUUCAUUUAUUUUUUUUUUAUUGGAGUUCAAUUUGCCAACAUAUACUGUAUCACCCAGUGCUCAUGAAUUCAUUUUUGUAUGUAGUAUGAAGUAAGGGUCAAAGUUCUUUUUCCUUCUCCUCCUCUUCCAACUCCUCCUCCUCGUCGUCCUCCUCCUCCUCAUCCGCGUCCUCCUCCUCUCCUAUUCCUCCUUCUUCUUCCACUACCAUUUGUUGAAAAGCCCACCUUUCCUCAUUGAAUCACUUGACAAAGUACUUUUGUUGAAGGCAAAUUGACUACAUUGUGUGAGUGUAUUUGUGGAUUCUACUUUGUUUCACGAUCUAUGUCUAUCCUUAUGCCAAUACCACACUGUCUUGAAAUCUUGAAAUCAGGUACUGUAAGUCAUUAACUUGUUCUUUUUCAAAAUUGCUUUAGCUAUUCUAGGUCACUUGAAUUUCCAUAUAAAUUUUAGAAUCGGUUUGGAAGUUUCUGUUUAAAAACCUGCUGGGAUUUUGAUUGGAAUUUGACUGAAUCUACAGGUCACUUUGACAGGAAUUAACAUCAUAACAGUAUUACAUUCCAAUUUUAAAUGGUAUAUUUUUUUAUAAUUGAGAUUUUAUUAGUUUUUGUUUGAACAUUAAUACUCAGGCAUUAUGAACAAUAUCCAAAGAUGUAUGGAGAUCACCCAGUUCUGUUAGGGUAGCAAAGAUCAGGCCACAAUUUUACAAAGUAUGAGAGAAUAG